This 275-nucleotide ribosomal RNA is filed under the name uncultured bacterium. RNAcentral's name for it is "partial 16S ribosomal RNA". It matches the Rfam family "Bacterial small subunit ribosomal RNA", at positions 399 to 691 of the family's 1533-position model. The record is from RNAcentral.
GCGUGAGUGAUGAAGGCCUUAGGGUUGUAAAGCUCUUUUGCCAGGGACGAUGAUGACGGUACCUGGAGAAUAAGCCCCGGCUAACUUCGUGCCAGCAGCCGCGGUAAUACGAAGGGGGCGAGCGUUGUUCGGAAUUACUGGGCGUAAAGGGCGCGUAGGCGGCCGCUCAAGUUAGAUGUGAAAGUCCUGGGCUUAACCUGGGGACUGCAUUUAAUACUGGGUGGCUUGAAUUCGGGAGAGGAUAGCGGAAUUCCCAGUGUAGAGGUGAAAUUCGU